UCCCACCCCUGCUCUGCCCAGCCACCCCGCCAAGCCCAUGAUUCCAGGCAGGGUAAGGCCCUCCUCCCAGAGGAAGGGGCCAACAGUCCAGUGACCUUGGCGUGCGCUUUGCCUGGCACUCCCCUCACAUUGCUCCCUACAGCUUGCACUCUGCCUCUGACUCUCUUCCAAGAACAAUUGGACAAGCUCUAAUCUACAUCUUGCAAAAAAAAAAAAAAAAAAAACCCAGGAGAGGUAGGAGGGCCACAGCACCUGGGGUCCCAGAAGGCAGACUGACACCUAUUCCUACUGUGGGGGUAAGUAACGCAAAAACCGCCAUGCAAAGAGACAUGGAGGUCUUCGAAAUGGAAUGGUGGCGAAGGGGUGGCGGUGGAGGGAGUCAUUGGGAGGCAAAACAUGCGGGACAUCUGGGGUCACUGAGACCAGGGAACUCGGGAUUCCCUUCUGGGAAAUGACACAGCAUGGCAGCUGUCCUUCCUAUACAGUGAAGCUACAUUUGCCUCGUUAAACCAAAUCACAGCUACAAACCAGUGCCACAUGCCUGGAGGCUGAGUGGACACUCCUGGUCUUCCUCAAGGAGAUGUGUAGCACUCUGAGCUCUGAUCCAGUUGAUCUGUGUGAAGUCCUCAGACAAACACAUAACCAUUCAACUCCCACAGGAGGCUUCUUGGAGCACGGUCCAGCUAGUUCGUCUUGAAGGGACAGCCAUGCUCCAGGUGCAGUUUUGGGAGCCAUCUGAUCACUGUCCUUUCAUCCAAGCAUCUGUCUUCUGAAGGAGGCGAGGCCAUGUGCUGUCAAGCGCUGUGGACAGACUGCCUGGGAUCAAGUCCUAGCUCCUCCACCCCCAACUGGACCAGCCACUAUUGUACCUCUGACCGAUCUCAGAACACAGCUGGAUUACCAGGAGGAAAACUAAGUUGAGCUUGAGCUCCACCAUAAGCCUGAGUCUUUCCAAAGGCCUGGGGGACCAAAGGCAGAAGCAAGACCACACGUAGAGAAGGCACCGAGCAAGCGGAUCUGUACAGUUCUUCGGUUCUAAACAACUCGCAGAAUCCAGGUGGACUCAGAGCCUGUGUGGCCACUGGGCAGGGAAGGUGGUGGUUCCUAGGCCCAUCAAAACCCCAAGGAACACUGACUUCUGUCUCCUGCUAUAGCUUCAGAGACAAGGUCUCAUUCUGUUGGCUAGGCUGGAGUGCAGU
This is a long non-coding RNA of Rhinopithecus roxellana (golden snub-nosed monkey), 1199 nucleotides long. RefSeq lists it as uncharacterized. The transcript is spliced from 4 exons. The record is from RefSeq and is a predicted model, not a curated record. Lineage: Eukaryota; Metazoa; Chordata; Mammalia; Primates; Cercopithecidae.